RNAcentral lists this long non-coding RNA (470 nucleotides) under Ananas comosus (pineapple). RNAcentral's name for it is "long non-coding RNA (ACOM_LNC022616)". Lineage: Eukaryota; Viridiplantae; Streptophyta; Magnoliopsida; Poales; Bromeliaceae. The record is from RNAcentral.
AUACAAAAUUUACAAUUAUUUUAUUUAGGAUAAUAUUUAAUAUGCUCUUUAAAAUUUUAAAAAUAUUUUAUUUCUUUCUUUUUCUAAAAUUUACUACUGUGAUUAGAUUUUAGAAUAGUAUAUUAAUAAUUUUAUGAUAAAUUUAAAAAUUUUAAAUAAUAGUCAGAGAUAAAUAAGUAAAUUUUUUUUAAUGUACAAUUAAAAAAAAGAUUUUUUUUUAUUUAGCCCUCUUAUAAAUUUGUUUUAAAAUAGCCUUAUAAAUUUUAUAUUUGCAAAAUUCGUCUUAAUCCUGUCAUGCAGAGCGCCACAUGAGUGUGCUCGGGUGGGUUGGAUAAGUCGAACAUGGUGAACCAAACAGCGUGCUCAUGUUGGGCUCGCAUGACGAAAAUAGAACUAAUCUUGCAAAUAUAAAAUUUAUGAGAUUGUUUUUUAAAAAAAAUUUAAAAGAGGCUAAAUAAAAAACAAAAAAU